RNAcentral lists this transfer RNA (22 nucleotides) under Poecilia sarrafae. Its description in RNAcentral is "partial tRNA-Gln". Lineage: Eukaryota; Metazoa; Chordata; Actinopteri; Cyprinodontiformes; Poeciliidae. The record is from RNAcentral.
AGGAAGUGGUGUAGUGGAAGCA